UACGGGGGGGGCAAGCGUUGUUCGGAAUUACUGGGCGUAAAGGGCUCGUAGGCGGCCAACUAAGUCAUACGUGAAAUCCCUCGGCUUAACCGGGGAACUGCGUCUGAUACUGGAUGGCUUGAGAUUGGGAGAGGGAUGCGGAAUUCCAGGUGUAGCGGUGAAAUGCGUAGAUAUCUGGAGGAACACCGGUGGCGAAGGCGGCGUUCUGGACUGCAACUGACACUGAGGAACGAAAGCCAGGGGAGCAAACGGG
RNAcentral lists this ribosomal RNA (253 nucleotides) under uncultured bacterium. Its description in RNAcentral is "partial 16S ribosomal RNA". It matches the Rfam family "Bacterial small subunit ribosomal RNA", at positions 524 to 776 of the family's 1533-position model. The record is from RNAcentral.